RNAcentral lists this ribosomal RNA (100 nucleotides) under Acanthosepion pharaonis. Lineage: Eukaryota; Metazoa; Mollusca; Cephalopoda; Sepiida; Sepiidae. The record is from RNAcentral.
UACUGAAACACUGGUUCUCAUACAAUCAUCAAAGUUAAGAUACAUCAAGCCUGAUCAGUACCUAGAUGGGUGACUGCUUGGGAAUACCAGGUGCUGUAAG